CAGUCGCCACGGGAAUACGGAGGGUGCAAGCGUUAAUCGGAAUUACUGGGCGUAAAGCGUGCGUAGGCGGUUCGUUAAGUCUGUUGUGAAAGCCCCGGGCUCAACCUGGGAAUGGCAAUGGAUACUGGCGAGCUAGAGUGUGUCAGAGGAUGGUGGAAUUCCCGGUGUAGCGGUGAAAUGCGUAGAGGUCGGGAGGAACAUCAGUGGCGAAGGCGGCCAUCUGGGACAACACUGACGCUGAGGCACGAAAGCGUGGGGAGCAAACAGGAUUAGAUACCCCGGUAGUCCCUGUCUCUUAUAC
Molecule: ribosomal RNA, 301 nt
Filed under: uncultured bacterium
Lineage: Bacteria
Description: partial 16S ribosomal RNA
Rfam family: Bacterial small subunit ribosomal RNA
Source: RNAcentral